This 484-nucleotide ribosomal RNA is filed under the name uncultured bacterium. RNAcentral's name for it is "partial 16S ribosomal RNA". It matches the Rfam family "Bacterial small subunit ribosomal RNA", at positions 30 to 507 of the family's 1533-position model. The record is from RNAcentral.
AUUGAACGCUGGCGGCAGGCCUAACACAUGCAAGUCGAGCGGAUGAAGGCAGCUUGCUCCUGGAUUCAGCGGCGGACGGGUGAGUAAUGCCUAGGAAUCUCCCUGGUAGUGGGGGAUAACACCUGCAAGGGGCCGCUAUUACUACAGCCGACUGGCGGCAGAUGGAGGGGGACUUCCGGACCCACCCCUUCCUGAUGGACCUAGUUGGGAUUUGUUAGUUGGUUGGUUAAAGGCCUACCAAGCCGACGAUCGGUAACUGGUCUGAGAGGAGGAUCAGUCACACUGGAACUGAGACACGGUCCAGACUCCUACGGGAGGCAGCAGUGGGGAAUAUUGGACAAUGGGCGAAAGCCUGAUCCAGCCAUGCCGCGUGUGUGAAGAAGGUCUUCGGAUUGUAAAGCACUUUAAGUUGGGAGGAAGGGCAGUAAGUUAAUACCUUGCUGUUUUGACGUUACCAACAGAAUAAGCACCGGCUAACUUCGUG